AGGCACAGGUAGUCACCAUCCUGGUUUUUUUCAUCCCAAUAAAGCUCUUGUGUGAGGUUUGUUGUGUGCUGUGACUUUGUCAUAUCCCUUGGCUCCCAACUGUCACGAUACCUUUCCAUCUGAGCUGCAAUGCUUACAUUUGGCGCCAAAACCCUGGAUAGGCUCUCCUAGUGCCCAAAUGUCCCCCUCGUGGUUGAAGCUGCACUGGGACCUGAUCCUUCAUCUCAAGUCCACCUGCAACAGACUCACCUUCAUGCUCACCAAUGGCUCAGCACCCCAUCUACCAGCAGCAAUCAGCUCCUGCCUCCAGGAUCCUGCCCUGUUCAAGUUCCUGUCCUGACUUCUUCAGUGAUAAACAGCAAUGCUGAAGUCCUCUGUGGUUUCCCUUUCUCCUUCCUCAGCGACAGGCUGCCCACCUGACAGGGACCCUGGAUGGAGUUACAAUACCCCAGGAGAAUUCUUGCUUGGGGAUCAAUUUGUAACUUGCCUCCUGGCUGAUCUUCACAAGGAUCCUUUUAAAGAGAACCUUCAUCUAGUAAUUGAUGGAAGCAGAUGCAGAGAUCCACAGCUAAGCACUGGAUUGAACUUCUGGAGUCCAGUCAUAGAGAGGGAAGAACAACAAUAUGAGCAAAGGAAUCAAGACCAUGCUGGGGAAAUCCAAAGAAAGCUGACCUGAGCAAGUGGGAGUUCACUGACUCCAGACUGACAGCUGAGAACCUGUAUAAGACUGAACUAGGCCUUCUGAAUGUAGGUGACAUUUGGGUGGCUUGGGCAGUUGUGUGGGGCCACUGGCAGUGGAACCAGUAUUUAUCCUUAGUGCAGGAACUGGCUUUUUGGAGCCUAUUCCCUGUGGAGGGAUACCUUGCUCAGCCUUGAUACAAUAGGAAGGGACUUGGUCCUCCCAUAACUGAUGUGACAAACUUGGUUGAUUUCCCAUGGGAGGCCCUGGGAGUAUAUGGGGACAUGGAGUGAGGAGGUGUGAUGGGGAGGGAGCAUGGGAAGGAGAAGAAGCUGGGAUUGGUAUGUAAAAUAAGAUUGUUUUAAGACUAAAAAAUAAAG
Molecule: long non-coding RNA, 1059 nt
Filed under: Cricetulus griseus (Chinese hamster)
Lineage: Eukaryota; Metazoa; Chordata; Mammalia; Rodentia; Cricetidae
Description: lncRNA (ENSCGRG00015034038.1)
Source: RNAcentral